GACUGAAAAAAAGACAAAAACGAUUACCAAACAAAAAAAGAGAUAAUGGAAAACCGCUAAAGUUGUUGUGGUUAUUUUGCAGGUUUGAACACACAAACCUGCACCAACGUGUCAUUUUGUGUACCAUUUGUUUGUUUUCUCGUUUUUAAUUUAAUAAUCUGG
RNAcentral lists this non-coding RNA (162 nucleotides) under Proboscia inermis. Lineage: Eukaryota; Bacillariophyta; Melosirophyceae; Probosciales; Probosciaceae. The record is from RNAcentral.